GGUUAAGCGACUAAGCGUACACGGUGGAUGCCCUGGCAGUCAGAGGCGAUGAAGGACGUGCUAAUCUGCGAUAAGCGUCGGUAAGGUGAUAUGAACCGUUAUAACCGGCGAUUUCCGAAUGGGGAAACCCAGUGUGUUUCGACACACUAUCAUUAACUGAAUCCAUAGGUUAAUGAGGCGAACCGGGGGAACUGAAACAUCUAAGUACCCCGAGGAAAAGAAAUCAACCGAGAUUCCCCCAGUAGCGGCGAGCGAACGGGGAGCAGCCCAGAGCCUGAAUCAGUGUGUGUGUUAGUGGAAGCGUCUGGAAAGGCGCGCGAUACAGGGUGACAGCCCCGUACACAAAAAUGCACAUACUGUGAGCUCGAUGAGUAGGGCGGGACACGUGGUAUCCUGUCUGAAUAUGGGGGGACCAUCCUCCAAGGCUAAAUACUCCUGACUGACCGAUAGUGAACCAGUACCGUGAGGGAAAGGCGAAAAGAACCCCGGCGAGGGGAGUGAAAAAGAACCUGAAACCGUGUACGUACAAGCAGUGGGAGCACGCUUAGGCGUGUGACUGCGUACCUUUUGUAUAAUGGGUCAGCGACUUAUAUUCUGUAGCAAGGUUAACCGAAUAGGGGAGCCGAAGGGAAACCGAGUCUUAACUGGGCGUUAAGUUGCAGGGUAUAGACCCGAAACCCGGUGAUCUAGCCAUGGGCAGGUUGAAGGUUGGGUAACACUAACUGGAGGACCGAACCGACUAAUGUUGAAAAAUUAGCGGAUGACUUGUGGCUGGGGGUGAAAGGCCAAUCAAACCGGGAGAUAGCUGGUUCUCCCCGAAAGCUAUUUAGGUAGCGUCUCGUGAAUUCAUCUCCGGGGGUAGAGCACUGUUUCGGCAAGGGGGUCAUCCCGACUUACCAACCCGAUGCAAACUGCGAAUACCGGAGAAUGUUAUCACGGGAGACACACGGCGGGUGCUAACGUCCGUCGUGAAGAGGGAAACAACCCAGACCGCCAGCUAAGGUCCCAAAGUCAUGGUUAAGUGGGAAACGAUGUGGGAAGGCCCAGACAGCCAGGAUGUUGGCUUAGAAGCAGCCAUCAUUUAAAGAAAGCGUAAUAGCUCACUGGUCGAGUCGGCCUGCGCGGAAGAUGUAACGGGGCUAAACCAUGCACCGAAGCUGCGGCAGCGACGCUUAUGCGUUGUUGGGUAGGGGAGCGUUCUGUAAGCCUGCGAAGGUGUGCUGUGAGGCAUGCUGGAGGUAUCAGAAGUGCGAAUGCUGACAUAAGUAACGAUAAAGCGGGUGAAAAGCCCGCUCGCCGGAAGACCAAGGGUUCCUGUCCAACGUUAAUCGGGGCAGGGUGAGUCGACCCCUAAGGCGAGGCCGAAAGGCGUAGUCGAUGGGAAACAGGUUAAUAUUCCUGUACUUGGUGUUACUGCGAAGGGGGGACGGAGAAGGCUAUGUUGGCCGGGCGACGGUUGUCCCGGUUUAAGCGUGUAGGCUGGUUUUCCAGGCAAAUCCGGAAAAUCAAGGCUGAGGCGUGAUGACGAGGCACUACGGUGCUGAAGCAACAAAUGCCCUGCUUCCAGGAAAAGCCUCUAAGCAUCAGGUAACAUCAAAUCGUACCCCAAACCGACACAGGUGGUCAGGUAGAGAAUACCAAGGCGCUUGAGAGAACUCGGGUGAAGGAACUAGGCAAAAUGGUGCCGUAACUUCGGGAGAAGGCACGCUGAUAUGUAGGUGAAGUCCCUCGCGGAUGGAGCUGAAAUCAGUCGAAGAUACCAGCUGGCUGCAACUGUUUAUUAAAAACACAGCACUGUGCAAACACGAAAGUGGACGUAUACGGUGUGACGCCUGCCCGGUGCCGGAAGGUUAAUUGAUGGGGUUAGCGCAAGCGAAGCUCUUGAUCGAAGCCCCGGUAAACGGCGGCCGUAACUAUAACGGUCCUAAGGUAGCGAAAUUCCUUGUCGGGUAAGUUCCGACCUGCACGAAUGGCGUAAUGAUGGCCAGGCUGUCUCCACCCGAGACUCAGUGAAAUUGAACUCGCUGUGAAGAUGCAGUGUACCCGCGGCAAGACGGAAAGACCCCGUGAACCUUUACUAUAGCUUGACACUGAACAUUGAGCCUUGAUGUGUAGGAUAGGUGGGAGGCUUUGAAGUGUGGACGCCAGUCUGCAUGGAGCCGACCUUGAAAUACCACCCUUUAAUGUUUGAUGUUCUAACGUGGACCCGUAAUCCGGGUUGCGGACAGUGUCUGGUGGGUAGUUUGACUGGGGCGGUCUCCUCCUAAAGAGUAACGGAGGAGCACGAAGGUUGGCUAAUCCUGGUCGGACAUCAGGAGGUUAGUGCAAUGGCAUAAGCCAGCUUGACUGCGAGCGUGACGGCGCGAGCAGGUGCGAAAGCAGGUCAUAGUGAUCCGGUGGUUCUGAAUGGAAGGGCCAUCGCUCAACGGAUAAAAGGUACUCCGGGGAUAACAGGCUGAUACCGCCCAAGAGUUCAUAUCGACGGCGGUGUUUGGCACCUCGAUGUCGGCUCAUCACAUCCUGGGGCUGAAGUAGGUCCCAAGGGUAUGGCUGUUCGCCAUUUAAAGUGGUACGCGAGCUGGGUUUAGAACGUCGUGAGACAGUUCGGUCCCUAUCUGCCGUGGGCGCUGGAGAAUUGAGGGGGGCUGCUCCUAGUACGAGAGGACCGGAGUGGACGCAUCACUGGUGUUCGGGUUGUCAUGCCAAUGGCACUGCCCGGUAGCUAAAUGCGGAAGAGAUAAGUGCUGAAAGCAUCUAAGCACGAAACUUGCCCCGAGAUGAGUUCUCCCUGACUCCUUGAGAGUCCUGAAGGAACGUUGAAGACGACGACGUUGAUAGGCCGGGUGUGUAAGCGCAGCGAUGCGUUGAGCUAACCGGUACUAAUGAACCGUGAGGCUUAACCUU
RNAcentral lists this ribosomal RNA (2904 nucleotides) under Escherichia coli. RNAcentral's name for it is "23S ribosomal RNA". It matches the Rfam family "Bacterial large subunit ribosomal RNA". The record is from RNAcentral. Lineage: Bacteria; Pseudomonadati; Pseudomonadota; Gammaproteobacteria; Enterobacterales; Enterobacteriaceae.